GAUGAACGCUGGCGGCGUGCCUAAUACAUGCAAGUCGGACGGAUGUAGCAAUACAUUAGUGGCGAACGGGUGAGUAACACGUAGGUGACCUGCCCUAAAGAGGGGAAUACCACUUCGAAAGGAGUGACAAAACCGCAUAAACUUAUAGAGAUUAGAAGGCUAUAAGGAAAGAGCGAUCUACUUUAGGAGGGGCCUGCGGCCCAUCAGCUAGUUGGUAGAGGUAACGGCCUACCAAGGCGAAGACGGGUAGGGGACCUGAGAGGGUGAUCCCCACAAUGGAACUGAAACACGGUCCAUACACCUGCGGGAGGCAGCAGUGGGGAAUAGUUGCGCAAUGGGGGGAACCCUGACGCAGCAACGCCGCGUGGAGGAAGAAGGUCUUCGGAUUGUAAACUCCUGUCUUCUGGGACGAAUAAUGACGGUACCAGAGGAGGAAGCCACGGCUAACUACGUG
RNAcentral lists this ribosomal RNA (454 nucleotides) under uncultured bacterium. RNAcentral describes it as "bacterial SSU rRNA". It matches the Rfam family "Bacterial small subunit ribosomal RNA", at positions 28 to 507 of the family's 1533-position model. The record is from RNAcentral.